GAAUAUUGGACAAUGGGGGGAACCCUGAUCCAGCCAUGCCGCGUGUGUGAAGAAGGCCUUUUGGUUGUACAGCACUUUAAGCGAGGAGGAGGCUACUCUAGCUAAUACCUAGGGACAGGGGACGUUACUCGCAGAAUAAGCAACGGCUAACUCUGUGCCAGCAGCCGCGGUAAUACAGAGGGUUCAAGCGUUAAUCGGAUUUACUGGGCGUAAAGCGCGCGUAGGUGGCCAAUUAAGUCAAAUGUGAAAUCACCGAGCUUAACUUGGGAAUUGCAUUCGAUACUGGUUGGCUAGAGUAUGGGAGAGGAUGGUAGAAUUCCAGGUGUAGCGGUGAAAUGCGUAGAGAUCUGGAGGAAUACCGAUGGCGAAGGCAGCCAUCUGGCCUAAUACUGACACUGAGGUGCGAAAGCAUGGGGAGCAAACAG
This 425-nucleotide ribosomal RNA is filed under the name uncultured bacterium. Its description in RNAcentral is "bacterial SSU rRNA". It matches the Rfam family "Bacterial small subunit ribosomal RNA", at positions 359 to 775 of the family's 1533-position model. The record is from RNAcentral.